GGGCGUACGGGAGGCAGAGUGGGGAAUCUUCCGCAAUGGGCGAAAGCCUGACGGAGCAACGCCGCGUGAAUGAUGAAGGCCUUCGGGUUGUAAAAUUCUGUCUUCAGGGAAGAAAAAAAUGACGGUACCUGAGGAGGAAGCCCCGGCUAACUACGUGCCAGCAGCCGCGGUAAUACGUAGGGGGCGAGCGUUGUCCGGAAUUACUGGGCGUAAAGGGCGCGUAGGCGGUUUAUUAAGUCAGAGGUGAAAGCUCCCGGCUCAACCGGGGGACUGCCUUUGAAACUGGUAACUUGAGGGCAGGAGAGGGGAGUGGAAUCCCGGUGUACGGUGAAAUGCGUAGAUAUCGGGAGGAACACCAGUGGCGAAGGCGACUCUCUGGCCUGUUACUGACGCUGAGGCGCGAAAGCGUGGGGAUCAAACAGGAUUAGAUACCCGGUAGUCCACGCCGUAAACGAUGGGUGCUAGGUGUAGGGGUAUCGACCCCUCUGUGCCGAGUUAACACAAUAAGCACCCCGCCUGGGGAGUACGGCCGCAAGGUGAAACUCGAAGGAAUUGACGGGG
Molecule: ribosomal RNA, 561 nt
Filed under: uncultured bacterium
Lineage: Bacteria
Description: bacterial SSU rRNA
Rfam family: Bacterial small subunit ribosomal RNA
Source: RNAcentral